RNAcentral lists this unclassified non-coding RNA (881 nucleotides) under Hevea brasiliensis (rubber tree). The record is from RNAcentral. Lineage: Eukaryota; Viridiplantae; Streptophyta; Magnoliopsida; Malpighiales; Euphorbiaceae.
GGAAACGUGUGGCUGUCAAGUAUUACUCUGAUGAGUGGCCAACAAAUAGUGCAAAGGAAACUUUUGAGAAAGCUGUAUUUAGCAAAACUCAAAAGAGCAAUGCCCGAAAUGAAGCGGAGAUUGCAAUGUUUGAAAACAAUAUUGUUGUUUACAAGUUUGUGCAAGAUCUGCAUUUUUUUGUCACUGGUGGUGAAUAUGAGAACGAGCUUAUUUUGGCAACAGUUCUUCAGGGAUUCUUCGAUGCUGUUGGCCUUCUCCUUAGGGGUCACGUGGAAAAGAAGGAAGCACUUGAAAACUUGGAUCUUAUUUUAUUGUGUCUUGAUGAAAUUGUUGAUGGAGGUAUUGUUCUUGAGACCGACGGAAACGUUAUUGCUGGGAAAGUUGCAACUCCUGCUCAGGCCCAGGAAGUCCAUGCUGAAUUGAGGAAAUGGUUUCAGAACAAUGUUAGUGCUGAAGUUGCUGGAUCUGUUAGAAUUAUAUAUGGAGGUUCCGUAAAUGGUGCAAACUGCAAAGAACUUGCAGCACAACCUGACUUGGAUGGAUUUUUGGUUGGAGGAGCCUCGCUUAAGCCCGAGUUUGUUGACAUUAUCAAGUCUGCUACGGUGAAGAAAUCUUCAUGAAUCGCCUGAGGAUGAGAUGGUUCUAUCUUCCUUUAGGUACGCGGGAUAUGUUACGGAAAUUGUUGUUUGCUUGAGCAAUAAAGUUUGAGACCCAUGCUUUUGUAUAAUCAUCUUUUUGUAUUCUCUCCUUUUUGAUGCAUUUUGACAUAAAAUUGGCACGGUUGAGGUCAAUACUAUGGUUACAGUUGAAUUGAGAUCAUCUCAAUUCUGAUUCAGACAAAAUGUUGUGCGUUCUAAUUAUAAAAUGCUCUUUCAGAUUUC